RNAcentral lists this ribosomal RNA (256 nucleotides) under uncultured bacterium. RNAcentral describes it as "partial 16S ribosomal RNA". It matches the Rfam family "Bacterial small subunit ribosomal RNA", at positions 524 to 776 of the family's 1533-position model. The record is from RNAcentral.
UACGAAGGGGGCUAGCGUUGCUCGGAAUCACUGGGCGUAAAGCGCACGUAGGCGGACUCUUAAGUCGGUGGUGAAAUCCUGGAGCUCAACUCCAGAACUGCCUUCGAUACUGGGAGUCUCGAGUCCGAGAGAGGUGAGUGACUGCGAGUGUAGAGGUGAAAUUCGUAGAUAUUCGCAAGAACACCAGUGGCGAAGGCGGCUCACUGGCCCCGGUACUGACGCUGAGGGUGCGAAAAGCGUGGGGGAGCCGAACAGG